RNAcentral lists this long non-coding RNA (1048 nucleotides) under Malus domestica (apple). Its description in RNAcentral is "long non-coding RNA (MDOM_LNC009961)". The record is from RNAcentral. Lineage: Eukaryota; Viridiplantae; Streptophyta; Magnoliopsida; Rosales; Rosaceae.
AAAUGUGCAAAGUCAAAUAUAAUUAAUGAAUUUGCUGAUAUGGAAUCUAGUCAAUGAGUUUUAUUUGUGUAAAGUCAAAUAUAAUUAAUGAAUUUGAUGAUGUGUAAACUCAUACAAGGAUCACACUCUCACAAUGAAUUAGAAAAUUUAAGCAUAAUACUAAUGUAUUGGACUCAUGAGUUCAAUAUAUUAAACCCAUGAGUAUGUAUUUAACUAAUGAAUGUGAUAUCAAUAUAUUGAGCUCACACUAGCACUAAUAUUAUAAAUAUCAAAUUCAAAUUACAUAAUUCAUAUAUAUAUAUAUCAUACUCACUCAAAUUACUAUGAAAAACUUUACAAGUUACAAAUAAAAAUGCAAUAGAAUCAAGAUGAAAAGUAGAGUGUGAAAGAAACAAAGUGUCCAACAAAAAAAAAAGCUCAAUUAACUUUUUAACUUUUGAACUGUUAAUGUAUUUAUUUUGUAAGAUGGGUAUGAUUGGCAUCGAUCCCACACUUUAUAAGCUUCUUUUUAUUAUUGAAAGAAACCGAUGCAGGAGCGUAUCUUAUCCUUACAAAGCGGCUCUCCUCAGACUGCAUAAUGGCCUGACAUCAUACAACAGUCUAGAGAUCACAAACUUUGAAGUGAUACUUUGUAGUUGAACAACCAUUGACUAAUGUCUUGUUUUUAAUAGUUUAUUUACAAUGAGUUUAUAGCUUAGUUUGUUAAGAGCACUCUUACUUGCACUUGAAGUGUCAAGUUCGAAUCCCUUCUCUUCCAAUAUCACGUGUACUGAAAAAAGUGCAAUUUAAUUCAAAUUAAGUCUUAUAAGUUAUAUGGGUGACUGCACAAGAUGGUUCACAUUUAAGAGAAUUACUUGAAUUCUCACAUAUUUGUUGAAGGAACCAAAAACACAUUAGAUACUAUUAUCUUCUUUUGUUUGGACCAAAAAUUAGAUGAUAACUAGCUAAUGCAUUGAUUAGAAAUUCCUAAAUGUUAGGAGAAUCUCACAUAUAUACAUUGAAUCUUGAAUUGGUUGCUCACUAGAUAACCCUAAUGUGACAAUGACAA